This 125-nucleotide non-coding RNA is filed under the name uncultured Clostridium sp. Its description in RNAcentral is "SAM riboswitch (S box leader)". It matches the Rfam family "SAM riboswitch aptamer (S box leader)". Rfam says of the family: The SAM riboswitch is found upstream of a number of genes which code for proteins involved in methionine or cysteine biosynthesis in Gram-positive bacteria. The SAM riboswitch acts at the level of transcription termination control. Lineage: Bacteria; Bacillati; Bacillota; Clostridia; Eubacteriales; Clostridiaceae. The record is from RNAcentral.
UUUAUCAAGAAGGUGGAGGGACUGGCCCUGUGAAACCUAGCAACAGCUAACUACGUAAGUUAGAAUUGUGCUAAAUCCUGCGUGGAAAUAUAAAAGUUUUAAGAACUUAUUUUCAUGAAAGAUAA